GCAGAGAUGGUUCAAUGGUAGAAUUCUCAGCUUCCAUGUGGGAGACCUGGGUUCAAUUCCUGGCCAAUGCA
Molecule: transfer RNA, 71 nt
Filed under: Loxodonta africana (African savanna elephant)
Lineage: Eukaryota; Metazoa; Chordata; Mammalia; Proboscidea; Elephantidae
Rfam family: tRNA
About the family: Transfer RNA (tRNA) molecules are approximately 80 nucleotides in length. Their secondary structure includes four short double-helical elements and three loops (D, anti-codon, and T loops).
Source: Rfam by way of RNAcentral